Molecule: long non-coding RNA, 3051 nt
Organism: Oncorhynchus tshawytscha (Chinook salmon)
Lineage: Eukaryota; Metazoa; Chordata; Actinopteri; Salmoniformes; Salmonidae
Source: Ensembl
AGAAAAUCUGAGACGCCCCAGGGUAGCAGUCAGAUGACCUUGGGACAGGGCUCUGCCGGAACUUAAUCGAAACGCUGGUAUUCCCGAGCACGAUCGUGAACGCUAACAGGACAGUGAAAGAAGAAUGUCUAACUCACACUCCCGGCCCAGUAUAAACUCCAUGCCCUGGCCUGUUCUGACAGACAGGAAGUGCUCCUAUCAUCUCCAUGGGAAAGAGUGGAGCCGGAGACCCCUCCUCAAACAGAAGGCGGGUUUAGAUCAACACACAAAACAGGUUCUCACACACAAAGAGCUUACCUUUACAAUACCUUACAGAAAACCACUAACCCUUACAGUUUAACUAUGACUAUUUAGAGGUGAAAAACAUGUCAUGCCUUUGUGAUGUAUGUCAGUGUUUUCAGGAGGGUGUUAUUUAGACACAUUUGGAGGUAGAUGUAAAAUAAAGAGUACCAGAGCCGGCAGGGUAGCCUAGUGGGGCGGCAGGGUAGCCUAGUGGUUAGAGCGUUGGACGAGUAACCGGAAGGUUGCAGGUUCAAACCCCCAAGCUGACAAGGUGUUUGCAAGAAUGGACAACUGCUGGUAUCUGUCGUUCUGCCCCUGAACAGGCAGUUAACCCACUGUUCCUAGGCCGUCAUUGAAAAUAAGAAUUUGUUCUUAACUGACUUGCCUAGUUAAAUAAAGGUAAAAUGAAAGAGCCAUAUCUAUAACUUGGGGGUAUAAUAAACAGUAUAUAAAAAGUCAGCUAUAAGCCUAACUAGAACACUAGGCUAUUUAUCCCUGAAUAAAUUGUGAUUUUUUUGUUUUGUUUUCAACAAUCAAUUCUUAUUUAUAAAAUGUUUCUAAGCAUGAUUUCCUUUGUUUCUAAAGAUUCAAUAAUAGUCUUGUCUGCACCGUGAAAUAGAAGCGCUUUCUUCCCGCCAUGAAUGGCUGGCAAUUCUCCGAGCCUUACAGCGCCAUUGAACUGCUUGGGGAAGCAAUUGACGCAUCCCAGUGGAACUGCCGAGAUGCACCAUGUAUAUUUUUUUUUAUCCCCGAGGAAACAGAGGAGGUGGAAUAGGUGAGGUUGAGGCUCUUCCAAAAACUAUCAUCGUUUUCUUUGGACAUACUCUAGGCUACUUACCGCUUCACCUCAUCAACGAAAAUGUAAAAAGUUAACAGCGUUAGGCAAGUUAUGCCGGUCCGGGACGAAUAAACUCUCCGCUUUCGCCGUACAGGCAGCCCGAUAUGUCUUGAUAGUAGGUGGUACUGUAGUGUUUGCAAGAAUGGACAACCGCUGGUAUCAUGCUGCAUUAAAAUCAGUCUCCGUUGUGUCUCUGACAAUGCCUACCUGGACACAACAUUCCCGGUCGAGGCAAUUGAGUUGUCUUCAGAUAAAGUUCACAAUAACACCAGAAAAUUAUCCAGAAAAGCACACUUAUCUGGCUGUAAAGUGUGGAUGUACAGAAAUGCAAAAUUUCAAAAUAUUCUGAGGGGACAGUUUCCGGGUAAAAGCGUCCUUGUCCUCCGUCUUUUUCGAACUGUCACCCUUUCUUUCGUCCUGUCAGUCUGGAGUUUUUCUAUUAAGUUUCUUGGACUCGAGUCCCUCCCCUUUCUGGCAGAGCUGACCAAUGGCAGAGUGGACUGUGCGUAUCGAAGGGGAAAUAAUAACCUGUUCGCCAACGUAACCUUGCGGGCGUCCUUCCGUUGCCAUCCAUGACCUCCAACUGUCCGUCGGUGUUCCAAGGCUCGAGAAUAGCACCUCCAUUCGUUAUCUUUUACUGUAGGCAACAUUGAAUUAGUGGUGAGUUGACAAUUUCCCUUAAACGCACACACACACAUCCCUCUACAAUGUGUUCCUCUAUAGUUUUCACCUGGCCUAUGGAAUCUGUGAAAUUAAAUGACCAAUGUGCCCACUGCCCUACUGAAGAAAUUAGAGUAGUAGCCUCAUAAUAAACUGUCUGUAAUUUGGGGUCAAAUACUAUAGAUUAAUAGGAGAACAGGAAAUAACCUUUUUAUGUCUCUGAUGCCCUUGGUCACUUUCACACGCGCAUGCAGGCGCACACACAGACAGAACUGACAAAUAGAACUGUAAGAUGCCCAUGCAUCUCCUCCCUAUUUCCAAAACAAGGUUUAGGACACAAACCAGCCUUGCCAGGAGAGACCAGCAGGGUAGCAGAGCAGGUUUGACUGUCAGAGGAGAGGUUGUGUGUUUGUACUCAUAGCAGUAAUGUGAGAUGGGUGUUGUCUCAGAGUGAGUGGCAGUGACACCCAAAGCACCUCCAGAUCCCUCUACACCACACAUGUCCUGUCUCAAUCAAAUCUAACCCAUUUUGGGGAUGGUAUAAAUGGUAUAAUUUAUCUACUUUCCAUCACCAAUACUAAUUUGAGCAGGCAGGAUUAUUAUUAUUUUUUUAACAUCAGUGCAGGGGAAGGAACGGAGACUGGAAGGGGACACCACUUCCGACUAUUGCAAUGAAACACACGGGUUCAGUCAGAAUUUCCAAACACCGAUGAGAUACAAUUGAAACCAACUAAAGCAAAUUGCUUUUUAGUGACAAGCUUUAUAUUCUGCGCCAUCUAGUGGAGUAAUCCGAGCUGUACAUGACCUUUGCCAGUCGGCCACAACACGUGCAAGGUGAAAGGGACAAUCCAUACGUAACUUUGUCUGUAAAUCUGCUAGUAUUUAUGCAUGCCAUGAACCAUCAUGACUUUUAAGGACUCCAAAUGAGACAUUGAAAUGAUAGCCUAUGUUUGUUUUAAAAACAAGCUUUAUUCCAGACAGUACUGUGCAGCCGUCUUCAUCGACCUUGCCAAGGCUUUCGACUCUGUCAAUCACCAUAUUCUUAUCGGCAGACUCAGUAGCCUCGGUUUUUCAGAUGACUGCCUUGCCUGGUUCACCAAUUACUUUGCAGACAGAGUUCAGUGUGUCAAAUCGGAGGGCAUGCUGUCCGGUCCUCUGGCAGUCUCUAUGGGGGUGCCACAGGGUUCAAUUCUCGGGCCGACUCUUUUCUCUGUAUAUAUCAAUGAUGUUGCUCUUGCUGCGGGCGAUUCCCUGAUCCACCUCUACGCAGA